Molecule: long non-coding RNA, 172 nt
Organism: Hippoglossus stenolepis (Pacific halibut)
Lineage: Eukaryota; Metazoa; Chordata; Actinopteri; Pleuronectiformes; Pleuronectidae
Exons: 3
Source: RefSeq, a predicted model, not a curated record
UGAGACAUUAAAACAGUUGGAGGCGCUUGACAAAGAACUCCAGCAACUGUCUCACAUCAAGGAGAAUGUGGAUGAUAAGUUGGAGUUAAGGAAGAAGCAGUUCCACGUGCUACUGAGUACCAUACAGGAACUACAGCAGACUCUCUCGAGUAAACAAGGGCAUGCGUUGGUA